AAAGUCGUAACAAGGUCUCCGUUGGUGAACCAGCGGAGGGAUCAUUACAGAGUUAUAAACUCAGACCCGACGCGAACCUGAAACUGUUGCUUCGGCGGGCUGCCGGCUCUUGCCGCGCCCGCCAAAGGUCUACGUUAGGCUCUCUAGCUGGGGUGUAUUCCCCAUACUGUCCUCUGAAUCGCUUCCAAACUGGUCAAAACUUUCAACAACGGAUCUCUUGGUUCUG
Molecule: unclassified non-coding RNA, 226 nt
Filed under: Ascomycota sp.
Lineage: Eukaryota; Fungi; Ascomycota
Description: partial contains small subunit ribosomal RNA, internal transcribed spacer 1, and 5.8S ribosomal RNA
Rfam family: Eukaryotic small subunit ribosomal RNA (bases 1-47)
Source: RNAcentral